RNAcentral lists this ribosomal RNA (306 nucleotides) under Triticum aestivum (bread wheat). RNAcentral describes it as "partial small subunit ribosomal RNA". The record is from RNAcentral. Lineage: Eukaryota; Viridiplantae; Streptophyta; Magnoliopsida; Poales; Poaceae.
AUGAUGACCAAGUACAUGAGGAACAAUGUGCAAGGACUUGUGCUAAUUUCUUUUCUUCUUGUGGUGUGUUUGACUUGUCUUGGAGGCACAUAUGGCGAAAUCAUAAAUGACAAGGGGAGCAACAUGAUGAGGAAAGUAAGCCAUGUAACGAGACCCCCUUGUUAUAAAGAUGGGCACCAGCUCCCAGGACGGGAAUUCUGCUGUAAAAUAGAUAACUUGUGCUGGCCAAAUCUCGGAGAAUGCUUCACCAACUGUCCCUGCAAGAUUAAUUGCACACCAGCAGCAGCAGCAACAACAACACAAUAG